This 410-nucleotide ribosomal RNA is filed under the name Theileria ovis. RNAcentral's name for it is "SSU rRNA". It matches the Rfam family "Eukaryotic small subunit ribosomal RNA", at positions 521 to 964 of the family's 1831-position model. Lineage: Eukaryota; Apicomplexa; Aconoidasida; Piroplasmida; Theileriidae. The record is from RNAcentral.
GAAUUUAAACCUCUUCCAGAGUAUCAAUUGGAGGGCAAGUCUGGUGCCAGCAGCCGCGGUAAUUCCAGCUCCAAUAGCGUAUAUUAAAAUUGUUGCAGUUAAAAAGCUCGUAGUUGAAUUUCUGCUGCAUUGCUUUUGCUCCUUUACGAGUCUUUGCAUUGUGGCUUAUUUCGGACUUUGUUUUACAAUGUCCGGAUGUUUACUUUGAGAAAAUUAGAGUGCUCAAAGCAGGCUUUCGCCUUGAAUAGUUUAGCAUGGAAUAAUAAAGUAGGACUUUGGUUCUAUUUUGUUGGUUUUAGGUACCAAAGUAAUGGUUAAUAGGAACAGUUGGGGGCAUUCGUAUUUAACUGUCAGAGGUGAAAUUCUUAGAUUUGUUAAAGACGAACUACUGCGAAAGCAUUUGCCAAGGA